GGGGAUUUAGCUCAGUGGUAGAGCACUUGCCUAGCAAGCGCAAGGCCCUGGGUUCAGUCCCAGCUCCG
RNAcentral lists this transfer RNA (68 nucleotides) under Rattus norvegicus (Norway rat). It matches the Rfam family "tRNA". Rfam says of the family: Transfer RNA (tRNA) molecules are approximately 80 nucleotides in length. Their secondary structure includes four short double-helical elements and three loops (D, anti-codon, and T loops). Further hydrogen bonds mediate the characteristic L-shaped molecular structure. tRNAs have two regions of fundamental functional importance: the anti-codon, which is responsible for specific mRNA codon recognition, and the 3' end, to which the tRNAs corresponding amino acid is attached (by aminoacyl-tRNA synthetases). tRNAs cope with the degeneracy of the genetic code in two manners: having more than one tRNA (with a specific anti-codon) for a particular amino acid; and 'wobble' base-pairing, i.e. permitting non-standard base-pairing at the 3rd anti-codon position. Lineage: Eukaryota; Metazoa; Chordata; Mammalia; Rodentia; Muridae. The record is from Rfam by way of RNAcentral.